RNAcentral lists this unclassified non-coding RNA (165 nucleotides) under rhizosphere metagenome. RNAcentral's name for it is "partial ribosomal RNA internal transcribed spacer region". The record is from RNAcentral.
GUAGGUGAACCUGCGGAAGGAUCAUUAACAAAUUCUUUAAUGUGUAUUUUGUGCAUAUUAUUUGUUGUUGUUUUAUAUAUAAACACAACAAAUACAAAUACAAACCUAUAAGUCUAUAAAUAUUUAAUUAUUUAACAACUUUUAACAAUGGAUCUCUAGGCUCUU